AAACGACUMUCGGCAACGGAUAUCUUGGCUCACGCAUCGAUGAAGAACGUAGCAAAAUGCGAUACUUGGUGUGAAUUGCAGAAUCCCGUGAACCAUCGAGUUUUUGAACGCAAGUUGCGCCCGAAGCCAUUCGGCCGAGGGCACGCCUGCCUGGGCGUCAC
RNAcentral lists this ribosomal RNA (161 nucleotides) under Gelasia rigida. RNAcentral's name for it is "Scorzonera rigida ribosomal RNA". The record is from RNAcentral. Lineage: Eukaryota; Viridiplantae; Streptophyta; Magnoliopsida; Asterales; Asteraceae.